UGGGCUAUCGCCAAGUGGUAAGACACAGCACUUUGAUUGCUGUAUGCGCUGGUUCAAAUCCAGCUAGCCCAG
This 72-nucleotide transfer RNA is filed under the name Blautia producta. RNAcentral describes it as "tRNA-Gln". It matches the Rfam family "tRNA". From Rfam's summary of the family: Transfer RNA (tRNA) molecules are approximately 80 nucleotides in length. The record is from RNAcentral. Lineage: Bacteria; Bacillati; Bacillota; Clostridia; Lachnospirales; Lachnospiraceae. RNAcentral also lists the same sequence under 1 other name.